This 429-nucleotide ribosomal RNA is filed under the name Actinomycetes bacterium. Its description in RNAcentral is "Actinobacteria bacterium partial 16S ribosomal RNA". It matches the Rfam family "Bacterial small subunit ribosomal RNA", at positions 355 to 776 of the family's 1533-position model. Lineage: Bacteria; Bacillati; Actinomycetota; Actinomycetes. The record is from RNAcentral.
UAGGGAAUCUUCCGCAAUGGGCGAAAGCCUGACGGAGCAACGCCGCGUGAGUGAUGAAGGUCUUCGGAUCGUAAAACUCUGUUAUUAGGGAAGAACAAAUGUGUAAGUAACUAUGCACGUCUUGACGGUACCUAAUCAGAAAGCCACGGCUAACUACGUGCCAGCAGCCGCGGUAAUACGUAGGUGGCAAGCGUUAUCCGGAAUUAUUGGGCGUAAAGCGCGCGUAGGCGGUUUUUUAAGUCUGAUGUGAAAGCCCACGGCUCAACCGUGGAGGGUCAUUGGAAACUGGAAAACUUGAGUGCAGAAGAGGAAAGUGGAAUUCCAUGUGUAGCGGUGAAAUGCGCAGAGAUAUGGAGGAACACCAGUGGCGAAGGCGACUUUCUGGACUGUAACGGACGCUGAUGUGCGAAAGCGGGGGGAUCAAACAGG